Gavialis gangeticus (Gharial) is the source of this 761-nucleotide long non-coding RNA. RefSeq lists it as uncharacterized. The transcript is spliced from 2 exons. NCBI's taxonomy places the organism in Eukaryota, Metazoa, Chordata, Crocodylia, Gavialidae. The record is from RefSeq and is a predicted model, not a curated record.
CUUGCCUUCCCUUCCGCCCGCGCAGCGCCCGAGGGCGGCUGGCUCAGCGCCGACGAGUCCUCGGGCUACGAGAGCGAGAGCGCCGCAUCGGGCACGGCCUCCCCGCCGCAGCCCCGCCGCCUGCGCACCGCCUUCACCUCCACGCAGAUCUGCCAGCUGGAGAAGACCUUCAAGCGGCAGAAGUACCUGGGCGCCGCCGAGAGGAGGAAGCUGGCAGCCGCCCUGCAGCUCUCCGAGGUCCAGGUCAAAACCUGGUUCCAGAAUCGUAGGAUGAAGCUUAAGAGGCAGAUACAAGACCACCACCAUAGCCUCCUGCCUCCAGCUCCUUUCUACAGCUAUAGCCAAGGGACCCCACCAACUCUGCUACAGGAUUAUUCCCACUAUCCUCUUGGCCCACAGCAGCAAAGACUCCUGCCUUUAACCCCAAGUCCUGCUUUGCAGUUCAACUCUUCCUUUCAAGUAUAUGACUUGCCACAAAAUGCAUCAUAUGGGCUUGUGGCACAUGAUCUGCCUUAUUACCAUCAACACUUUCUACCACAACUCUCCCUCCUUCCAGUUUUUCAAAACAAAGUGGAAGACCAGCAAUUUAACUCUCUAACGACACUAUAACCAUGCCUGUAUGUCAGAUAUGGAACAAGUAUAUGGUACACUGUAGGCUUUAAUUGUACGUAAAAUGUUUGGCUUGAUAUCAAGUUAAAGGUUCAUAACUAUACAGGCUAAUUCUAAUUGUAUUUAACUGAUAUUAAAACCUGUUAAAUGUA